RNAcentral lists this ribosomal RNA (496 nucleotides) under uncultured bacterium. Its description in RNAcentral is "partial 16S ribosomal RNA". It matches the Rfam family "Bacterial small subunit ribosomal RNA", at positions 28 to 506 of the family's 1533-position model. The record is from RNAcentral.
GAUGAACGCUGGCGGCGUGCCUAAUACAUGCAAGUCGAGCGAACAGACGAGGAGCUUGCUCCUCUGACGUUAGCGGCGGACGGGUGAGUAACACGUGGAUAACCUACCUAUAAGACUGGGAUAACUUCGGGAAACCGGAGCUAAUACCGGAUAAUAUAUUGAACCGCAUGGUUCAAUAGUGAAAGACGGUUUUGCUGUCACUUAUAGAUGGAUCCGCGCCGCAUUAGCUAGUUGGUAAGGUAACGGCUUACCAAGGCGACGAUGCGUAGCCGACCUGAGAGGGUGAUCGGCCACACUGGAACGGAGCCACGGCCCAGACUCCCACGGGAGGCAGCAGUAGGGAAUCUUCCGCAAGGGGCGAAAGCCUGACGGAGCAACGCCGCGGGAGUGAUGAAGGUCUUCGGAUCGUAAAACUCUGUUAUUAGGGAAGAACAAAUGUGUAAGUAACUAUGCACGUCUUGACGGUACCUAAUCAGAAAGCCACGGCGAACUACGU